RNAcentral lists this ribosomal RNA (253 nucleotides) under uncultured bacterium. RNAcentral's name for it is "partial 16S ribosomal RNA". It matches the Rfam family "Bacterial small subunit ribosomal RNA", at positions 524 to 776 of the family's 1533-position model. The record is from RNAcentral.
UACGGAGGGAGCUAGCGUUGCUCGGAAAUACUGGGCGUAAAGCGCACGUAGGCGGCGCAGCAAGUCAGGGGUGAAAUCCCGGGGCUCAACCCCGGAACUGCCCUUGAAACUGCAGUGCUAGAAUCUUGGAGAGGCGAGUGGAAUUCCGAGUGUAGAGGUGAAAUUCGUAGAUAUUCGGAAGAACACCAGUGGCGAAGGCGACUCGCUGGACAAGUAUUGACGCUGAGGUGCGAAAGCGUGGGGAGCAAACAGG